This 252-nucleotide ribosomal RNA is filed under the name uncultured bacterium. RNAcentral describes it as "partial 16S ribosomal RNA". It matches the Rfam family "Bacterial small subunit ribosomal RNA", at positions 57 to 305 of the family's 1533-position model. The record is from RNAcentral.
GCAAGUCGAACGAGAAAGUCCUUCGGGACGAGUAGAGUGGCGCACGGGUGAGUAACACGUAGGUGACCUACCUUCUAGCGGGGGAUAACUCGAGGAAACUCGAGCUAAUACCGCGUAAGUUUGUUGCUUUGAAUGGCAACUCAGAAAGGGUGCUUCGGCAUUCGCUGGAAGAUGGGCCUGCGUUACAUUAGCUUGAUGGUGGGGUAAUAGCCUACCAUGGCUACGAUGUAUAGCUGGUCUGAGAGGAUGAUC